UGCAAGCUCCUUACCAUGCGCAACAUCCCACACUCAUGCCUUUCUCCACGUCACAAACAAGCUAUACACGUGCUUACCCUGAUCAGCCUUCAGCAGCAGCAGCACAGCAGGCCCAACUUCAGUUGCCUGCUCAUCUCACCAGCCCAUAUUGCAUUCCCCAUGCAAGUUCUAAGGCCUUGACAAAGCAGCCACAGCAUCAGCAGCAGCAGCAGCAGC
RNAcentral lists this unclassified non-coding RNA (216 nucleotides) under Hevea brasiliensis (rubber tree). The record is from RNAcentral. Lineage: Eukaryota; Viridiplantae; Streptophyta; Magnoliopsida; Malpighiales; Euphorbiaceae.